RNAcentral lists this long non-coding RNA (2018 nucleotides) under Mus musculus (house mouse). Its description in RNAcentral is "long non-coding RNA chr19:24478072-24480090". Lineage: Eukaryota; Metazoa; Chordata; Mammalia; Rodentia; Muridae. The record is from RNAcentral.
GCCAAGAGAGAAUAGUAGACUUAAGGCGGUUGGGAGGAAGAAGCUUUGUGACAUCUUUUUUAAAAAAGUUGUCAUAUUUCUGCCGUUAACCGUGCACAUACUAAUGUUCACUUGGUGUGGGAAUCCAAUGAAAGAAAAAAAAAAGACACAUUCAUAGAUCAACAGAUUUUUAGCUUAUGUAAUUAAUACAAAACUUUGUAUCUCAUUAACAGGGAAGUUGUAUGUGUUCAUUUAUUCAGUCAAGUCUCCUAUUCGGGCAUACCUACUUACUAUGUACCAGGUACUGUGCUAGGAAAUGGACUUGUGUGAGGACAUUCAGUUUCUACUGGGUGGGAGUGGGGGAUGAGAAAAUAGGGGACUUUUGGUGGUAUGGCUGGAGGUAGAAGUGGGACGGUGUGGUCAAGCACUACCUAUAUAUAGCCCUUGAGGGGCAGUUGGGCAGAGUUCAGUUGUAAAUGACAAAUCCUGUGGACUGUGGGAGGUGGGGGCAGGGCCGAGUGUUCCAACCAAUGCGAAGGGCCAACAUACCCACCCGUCUGGGGAAGAACAAGGAAAGAAAAAUCAAGAAGGAGACAGGUGACCUGAGAGGUCAACGGACUGAGCGCCCAGUCCUAUGAUUAUAAGUCCCUGAGCAGUAUUAGGCAGGGGAAUAAUAGGCUUGGGCUUUAUCUGUUAUGGUUUGAGAUGGAGUCUCACUAAGUCAUUGCUCAGGCUAAUCUCAAACUUCUGGGCUCUAGUGAUUCACCUCACUCCCAAAGGAAGUAGGGCUAAGGGCAUAUCGUGCCACACUCAGCAUGGUUUUUGCUUUAAACACCAUGGAAUGAGCUGAAAGGGGGCCAGAGGCAAGAGUGGAGGCCAGAAGAUAGAGUAGAAAGCUGCUACAGAGAGCAGAAUACUGGGGUAGGGUUGUAACAGUAGGGAAUGGGGAGAAGGGGAUCCACUGAUGUCAUCUGGGAUGAGAUUUGCCAAUAGGUUAAAUUUCGGUGUUCAAAGAAAUAGGGAGGCGGGGAGGAGAUAAGGGAUUUUUGGAGGGGAAGCUAAGAAAGGGGAUAACAUUUGAAAUGUAAAUAAAACAUCUAAUUAAAAAACAAAAAAAGAAAUAGGUAAUUUAGAUGGUAAUGUCAAAUGAAUAGGAAAGGUACAUGGGGUGGAGGUUGAGUUUUCAGUUUUGGUAGGCUUGAGGAGUUAUAUAUACAAAUCUGGCCACUUUGAGCUAAGAGUUUUGUUUUGUUUUCGAGACAGGGUUUCUCUGUGUAGCCCUGGCUGUCCUGGAACUCUCUCUGUAGACCAGGCUGGCCUCGAACUCAGAAAUCCGCCUGCCUCUGCCUCCCGAGUGCUGGGAUUAAAAGUGUGCGCCACUACGACCAGCUUUGUUUUUGUUUUAAGAUACAAAGGUCAGUGACAGUCAGCUUUGCACAGCUUGUUAAUGGUGGGAACCAAGACUUGAAGCUAAGUCUCCUGUUUCCCUGCCCAUAUAUCUUUCCACUUGGUCUCAAACAGGUUUUAAUUGAAGUUCUUACUAAGUAUGGAUCCUGAAGAUAAAAUAACGUUAAGUAUUCAUACCUGUUAAAGAACUAAUUUACACGAUGCCAUAUCCCAUUAAAUCCUUGCCCACAACAGCAUCAGGGGUUAGCUAUUAUUCCUGAUGCCAAUUUGCAGGGAGAAGCAGGGAUUUAGUAACACACAUAGAGAGCUGGGCCUCAGUGAGUACAAGGCCUUUCUCUGCAUGUGUUCUGCUGCCUUUAAGUGCAAUGACACUUCAGCACUCAGAGAAAUCAUUUGCAUAAUGGCAGGAUAAAGGCAGUGUAUGAGGCAGGAUUUGAAAGGCAGGUAGACUUUUAGUGGAUGACACUUUAUAGAGAAGUAGCUGGUGGCUGCAGCACGGUGAGCUUGACUAAUAGAUGAAGGACCUGGAGAAGAAUAAUGAGGAAAAGAUGGAGUCUGAGGAUGGACCUGCGAAUAUCUGGCAGAAGUAUCCAUAUUUAACAUGGGAGGCAGUAGGGGCUGCUCAGAGUCUG